This is a long non-coding RNA of Dermochelys coriacea (leatherback sea turtle), 1833 nucleotides long. RefSeq lists it as uncharacterized. The record is from RefSeq and is a predicted model, not a curated record. Lineage: Eukaryota; Metazoa; Chordata; Testudines; Dermochelyidae. The transcript is spliced from 3 exons.
AGUCUUCUCUAGCUAUAGAGAGAGAUGAGCCUGGCUGCUGGGGAGUAUAUCAGGGUACCUGAGGUGAAGCAGGGCUGGGGAAGGCCAGGGGAGCUGGGAGGCUCCAGGCUGGAAAAGUGCAGGCCUGGCAGAUGGCCUAAGACAAGUGGUUCCCAAGCAGUGUGGGCCGAGGGACAUACUGGCCGCCCCCAGCAGCUCCCACUGGCCUGGAACAGCGAACCGCAGCCAGUGGGAGCCGCAAUUGGCUGAACCUGCGGACGCGGAAGGUCACAAGGAAGUUUGUUGAGGUUUCGACUGUGAUGACAUUUUUGUGACCCAUGUUGUGACCCCAUCUUGCCAGAAGCUUCCAUAUUUUCUUGCUUGAGAAUAAGGUAUGCAAUGCAUUUCCAAUCAGAGGUCUACCGUUGCUGACUUCAUGGUGAAAAAAAGAGGUGACAUUCCAGAACUGUCUGUGCAAAUUUAUGCACUGCUACUGGUCAGAAAGACCACUCCACUUAUGAUCCAUAUUUCCAUUUCUUUCUUUGAGUGUAAAGACUAAUUUUCCACACUCUUAACUAAGAAUAAAAUGUUAAUUGACUUUGAAUUGUCAAAUAAAAUAUUUCUCUAAGAAUCUGCUUGUGGGAUGCACAAAACCAAUAUCUUAAAAUCUUGAUAUGAGAAACACAUUGAAGUCGCAUUUAAAUGUAUGUUAUUAAAUACUUUGGGCUUUGAUCCUCUGAUGCCUUGCACCUUUUACAGUCCUCUACACAUAUGCAAAGUAAAUUCAAAGUCCCACCAAACCAUAAUGGCAGUAUUUUACACCUCUUUUCAAUAGGGGUAAAUGACCACACAAAGUGCAAAGCAGUGAAGAAUUUUCUCUAAUAAUCAAUAUGAAACCAUAACUUUAAUGCUCCAGCCAAUCCUCUCUACUGCAAUCUUCUGUGGGACUAGAUUCUGUUAUUGAAGUGAAUAGGAGCUUUACCAUUGAUUUCAAUAGGACCAAAUUUUUACCCUUAAUAUCUCUGUACCUCUGUGUAGAAAGAGAAUGACUCACCUCACAGGGAUGUUGAAAGGCUCAAUUAUUUUGUGUUCAUAAAGAUCAUUGAGAUACUCUGAUAAAAAGACCAUAAGGAUAUAGGUGCAAGGAUUUAUGAUUGGAGUAGAAUAUUAGAGUUUUGUGAAUUCUUGUUUAAGUUUUGACACUAAAUAAAACUAAAAUGUGUCUAGAUAAUUUGCAAAGGAAUUGGGUGUCGCACUAGCCAACAAUUUCUUUUAUGAAUACUUUAGAAUUGAAAAAAAAAUAAACUUGACAAGUUUAUAGAUUUUCCAGAAUUGCCAUUGCAGGAGAAGAUCAAAAUAUAUACCAAAUUGCAAUAUAACAGCUAGAUACUCACACCAUCUCAAGCUUCUUUCAGGUUAUUCACAGGGUGAGACAGAAAGAUCAACAUGGUGGUUGAUUUCACAGUGACUUAAAAUAUUUCAAACAUUUCUGGUAAUCAGUUCAAAGUUAAUGAGCCUGGCCUGUGCUGAUUGUAUGCAUAGCUAAGUUAGACAGGCAAAUUUGAAUUCUGACCUUGACCUUAACAGGGCUAGUGAGGGAUAUAAGGGAGUACUGUGGAUUUCAGAAGAAGGCCAAACCUUGUGUUGUUCUGAUAGAUAGCUUAUGAGCAAUACUGAUGAUCUCUGAAGCACAAGUGGUCAAGGUUUCCUGAUCAAGGGAACAGAUACAAUAAGGUAUGGCCUGUUUGUAGUGAACUGGGGAUUGAUAGGGGAUUGAUUCAGCUGGCCUUUCAAAGAGAAACAUCUAAAUAUCUUUCUGUAUGUUUACAUCAUAAAUAAUUUUUUUUAAAUAAA